Spinacia oleracea (spinach) is the source of this 1025-nucleotide long non-coding RNA. RefSeq lists it as uncharacterized. The transcript has 4 exons. NCBI's taxonomy places the organism in Eukaryota, Viridiplantae, Streptophyta, Magnoliopsida, Caryophyllales, Amaranthaceae. The record is from RefSeq and is a predicted model, not a curated record.
UCAACCCUAGCUUCCUCCCAUUUUCUCUCUCCUUCGAUCUUCUUCAUCUUCCUCAAAUCAUCUCCUUCCUCAAUCCUCUCCUCGAUCUUCUUCAUCUUCUGCAACAUGGGUUUUAGGAUUUCUAGGAAAAAAAAUUCAUUGGAGGAGAGAGAUUCAAAUAAGAAACUUUCGUGAUAAAUAAUCAAAUUUAGAGGUUUAGGGAAGGGGAUUCGAUUAUAGAUAAGAAAAAAUUGAAGGUCGAUAAUGGAGGAGAGAGAAAACAAUGGUGGGUGAUGGCUCCUUGGAGGCGGCGGCGAUGGCGGCUCACCUUCAAUUUCAUCCUUUCAGGUUUAAUCUCAAGAUACCGAGGUGAGGUGAGUAAUUUUCUAUUCAAUUUUAUUUUAUUUUAAUUUUGCAGAUUUUGUGAUUUAAAUGUCUUGAUCAAUAAUUAAUUAGCGGAUUACAGUUUUUCUGCAAUUUUUGGUUUGAUUUUUUAUCUGAUUUUAUUUUCUUUCGGGAUCUCUUAAUCUCUGAUUGUGUUUCUUAGAUCUGUGAUUUUUGUUGGAUCAAUAUCUCAUUCUGUUUGUUUCUCGAUUUUGCAGGUGUUUUUUUUUUUUUUUUAAUAAAAAUCGAAGCUUUCUACAAUCUACAAGAUAUCCAGAGCACGAAUUUGGUAUUCUGCAAUUUCUGAUUUUGGAAUUCAUCUUUUCUGCUGAAAAGUGGCGCAAAUUUUGAUUAACCCAACUUCUAGGUAUCAUUUCAGUCUCUUAAAGAAAGGUGUGUUGGGAGUCUGUUGGAUUGCUGCUGGUUUUUUUGCUGAGUGCAGGGGGUUUGUUUAAUAUGGUUUAAAUUGGUAAAUUUAGCCACCUUAUGCCUUUACAGUCCAGUAGUUACAUUGCCAUUGUUGAUGGUGCUUCUUUAAUGUGUUAUCUUUUGUCUUUGAUUUAUUUUGGCGAUGCAAGUGUUUCCAGCCAAGUAGAUUUUGUGCUAUCAAGAUACACAACCUAGAGACUUAGUUAGAUUGUAGUUUGAUUACUAAGAUCGUA